UUACUUUCAACAACGGAUCUCUUGGCUCUCGCAUCGAUGAAGAACGUAGCGAAGUGCGAUAAGUAAUGUGAAUUGCAGAAUUCCGUGAAUCAUCGAAUCUUUGAACGCAAAUUGCACUUUCUGGUAUUCCGGAAAGUAUGCCUGU
This 145-nucleotide ribosomal RNA is filed under the name uncultured Glomeraceae. RNAcentral describes it as "5.8S ribosomal RNA". It matches the Rfam family "5.8S ribosomal RNA". Rfam says of the family: 5.8S ribosomal RNA (5.8S rRNA) is a component of the large subunit of the eukaryotic ribosome. The record is from RNAcentral. Lineage: Eukaryota; Fungi; Glomeromycota; Glomeromycetes; Glomerales; Glomeraceae.